AGAGUUUGAUUCUGGCUCAGGACGAACGCUGGCGGCGCGCCUAACACAUGCAAGUCGAACGAGAGAGAGGGAGCUUGCUUCCUCAAUCGAGUGGCGAACGGGUGAGUAACGCGUGAGGAACCUGCCUCAAAGAGGGGGACAACAGUUGGAAACGACUGCUAAUACCGCAUAAGCCCACAGCUCGGCAUCGAGCAGAGGGAAAAGGAGUAAUCCGCUUUGAGAUGGCCUCGCGUCCGAUUAGCUAGUUGGUGAGGUAACGGCCCACCAAGGCGACGAUCGGUAGCCGGACUGAGAGGUUGAACGGCCACAUUGGGACUGAGACACGGCCCAG
This 331-nucleotide ribosomal RNA is filed under the name uncultured bacterium. Its description in RNAcentral is "bacterial SSU rRNA". It matches the Rfam family "Bacterial small subunit ribosomal RNA", at positions 8 to 334 of the family's 1533-position model. The record is from RNAcentral.